This 72-nucleotide transfer RNA is filed under the name Camelus bactrianus (Bactrian camel). It matches the Rfam family "tRNA". Rfam says of the family: Transfer RNA (tRNA) molecules are approximately 80 nucleotides in length. Their secondary structure includes four short double-helical elements and three loops (D, anti-codon, and T loops). Lineage: Eukaryota; Metazoa; Chordata; Mammalia; Artiodactyla; Camelidae. RNAcentral also lists the same sequence under 2 other names. The record is from Rfam by way of RNAcentral.
GAGAGUAUAGCUCAGUGGUAGAUCGCAUGCUUAGCAUGCAUGAGGUCUUGGGUUCAGUCCCCUGUACCUCCA